UACGAAGGGGGCUAGCGUUGUUCGGAAUCACUGGGCGUAAAGGGCGCGUAGGCGGCUUUAUAAGUCGGGGGUGAAAGCCUGUGGCUCAACCACAGAAUUGCCUUCGAUACUGUAGAGCUUGAGACCGGAAGAGGUAAGUGGAACUGCGAGUGUAGAGGUGAAAUUCGUAGAUAUUCGCAAGAACACCAGUGGCGAAGGCGGCUUACUGGUCCGGUUCCGACGCUGAGGCGCGAAAGCGUGGGGAGCAAACAGG
This 253-nucleotide ribosomal RNA is filed under the name uncultured bacterium. Its description in RNAcentral is "partial 16S ribosomal RNA". It matches the Rfam family "Bacterial small subunit ribosomal RNA", at positions 524 to 776 of the family's 1533-position model. The record is from RNAcentral.